RNAcentral lists this transfer RNA (69 nucleotides) under Sphaerodactylus townsendi. RNAcentral's name for it is "tRNA-Ala". Lineage: Eukaryota; Metazoa; Chordata; Lepidosauria; Squamata; Sphaerodactylidae. The record is from RNAcentral.
GCAGUGGCUCAGUGGUAGAGCACCUGCUAGGCAGGCAAAAGACUCCAAGCUCAAUUCCUGGCGUCUCCA